Molecule: ribosomal RNA, 743 nt
Filed under: Bacillus thuringiensis
Lineage: Bacteria; Bacillati; Bacillota; Bacilli; Caryophanales; Bacillaceae
Also listed under: 1 other name
Description: bacterial SSU rRNA
Rfam family: Bacterial small subunit ribosomal RNA
Source: RNAcentral
GUUAGCGGCGGACGGGUGAGUAACACGUGGGUAACCUGCCCAUAAGACUGGGAUAACUCCGGGAAACCGGGGCUAAUACCGGAUAACAUUUUGAACCGCAUGGUUCGAAAUUGAAAGGCGGCUUCGGCUGUCACUUAUGGAUGGACCCGCGUCGCAUUAGCUAGUUGGUGAGGUAACGGCUCACCAAGGCAACGAUGCGUAGCCGACCUGAGAGGGUGAUCGGCCACACUGGGACUGAGACACGGCCCAGACUCCUACGGGAGGCAGCAGUAGGGAAUCUUCCGCAAUGGACGAAAGUCUGACGGAGCAACGCCGCGUGAGUGAUGAAGGCUUUCGGGUCGUAAAACUCUGUUGUUAGGGAAGAACAAGUGCUAGUUGAAUAAGCUGGCACCUUGACGGUACCUAACCAGAAAGCCACGGCUAACUACGUGCCAGCAGCCGCGGUAAUACGUAUGUGGCAAGCGUUAUCCGGAAUUAUUGGGCGUAAAGCGCGCGCAGGUGGUUUCUUAAGUCUGAUGUGAAAGCCCACGGCUCAACCGUGGAGGGUCGUUGGAAACUGGGAGACUUGAGUGCAGAAGAGGAAAGUGGAAUUCCAUGUGUAGCGGUGAAAUGCGUAGAGAUAUGAAGGAACACCAGUGGCGAAGGCGACUUUCUGGUCUGUAACUGACACUGAUGCGCGAAAGCGUGGGGAGCAAACCGGAUUAGAUACCCUGGUAGUCCACGCCGUAAACGAUGAGUGCUAA